RNAcentral lists this long non-coding RNA (533 nucleotides) under Chinchilla lanigera (long-tailed chinchilla). Its description in RNAcentral is "lncRNA (ENSCLAG00000023232.1)". The record is from RNAcentral. Lineage: Eukaryota; Metazoa; Chordata; Mammalia; Rodentia; Chinchillidae.
UCCCUCACAGAUGAACAUUUUAAGGAGUAAGUUAUUAAACAUAAAUUACAUAAAGCUUUCAAGUCGCAGAUGAAUGGAACUGCAGUACUUGCAAGUCAAACAGAAGCAAAGAGAAGCAGCAGCCAGGAGCCUCCUGAUGGCUAGACAACUCUUCAGAACAGAUGCAAAUAAAAGACUCAGGGAAAUGUCUCCAGAGUACUUUCACUGAGACCUGGCAAUCAGAGAAACAGCCAGUGGCAAAGUUUUAGAGAUAAAAAGAGUUCACUAUAGACACCAUAGAAAAUUGCUGUUUUACCCAAUGACUCUGGAAACCCUUGAGAAAAUAUGGCGGAGAGUUUAUUGCCAAAUGGACUUGCCAUCUUGGGAAGUGCUUCACAAACUUCACUCACUAUAUCUGGCCAGUUCUCCUCAAUGCUAGGAAUAGGAAAGAGAGAAGAGGUCACUUCCACCAAAGAAACCCUGUGGCUCAUGAAAGGUGAGUUCAAUUUGUUUACCUCAGUGUUAUCCCAUUUUUUUUAGAGAAAAAGAAUAUU